This 600-nucleotide long non-coding RNA is filed under the name Homo sapiens (human). Its description in RNAcentral is "non-protein coding LINC01428:5". The record is from RNAcentral. Lineage: Eukaryota; Metazoa; Chordata; Mammalia; Primates; Hominidae.
UUCAUGACUGCAAGCCUUUGUGAAAGUUUCUGACCUCUUUAUGCUUCAGGAAUCUUAGCAAUGAAACAAGGAUAAUGGCACUUGCUGUGACGAUCAUGAUGCACUUUUCUGAGAGUUUGUGCGGAUUGAGUGAAUCUGCUUCAUUUCAGCCCGAAGUUGCUGGAGGGUCCUUCGUCAGGAGACAGUAUAUAUAGACUUGCCAGAAGUGCAAUAAUUAUUCAGUCUCUUUCUCAGUAUUAAGCCAAUGUACAAAAUAAUUACACAUCUGCUUCUAUAGUAUGCACAGAUGUUGCUGUUGUUGUCAUUGAUUUGUUCAUUUGUUUUUGUUCAUCUUCCAUGAAUCUAUUCACAGCCGGGAAGCCAACUCCACUGUUGGUGGACAUUAAAACCUAAACAAAACAAAAAUUCCUUAGAAGACAGUUAAAGGACGGGUACGUUUAAGAGUAUGUCUCUUUUUCCCUCAGUCAAAUCUUUAUUUUUGUAAACUUUGUUUUAUCUUAAUUGAGAGGUAGUUGAAUUCCUCAGGUGUACCAAACAUUUCAAGGUCUAUAAAUAAGCCAGUUUUCUUCAUGCGUAAUCAACAUGUUGCCUAGAACAAGA